AGGAAUAUUGGUCAAUGGGCGCGAGCCUGAACCAGCCAAGUAGCGUGAAGGAUGAAGGUCCUACGGAUUGUAAACUUCUUUUAUAAGGGAAUAAAGUCACCCACGUGUGGGUGUUUGUAUGUACCUUAUGAAUAAGCAUCGGCUAACUCCGUGCCAGCAGCCGCGGUAAUACGGAGGAUGCGAGCGUUAUCCGGAUUUAUUGGGUUUAAAGGGAGCGUAGACGGGCCGUUAAGUCAGCUGUGAAAGUUUGAGGCUCAACCGUAAAAUUGCAGUUGAUACUGGGUGUCUUGAGUACAGUAGAGGCAGGCGGAAUUCGUGGUGUAGCGGUGAAAUGCUUAGAUAUCACGAAGAACUCCGAUUGCGAAGGCAGCUUGCUGGACUGUAACUGACGCUGAUGCUCGAAAGUGUGGGUAUCAAACAGGAUUAGAUACCCUGGUAGUCCACACAGUAAACGAUGAAUACUCGCUGUUUGCGAUAUACAGUAAGCGGCCAAGCGAAAGCGUUAAGUAUUCCACCUGGGGAGUACGCCGGCAACGGUGAAACUCAAAGGAAUUGACGGGGGCCCGCACAAGCGGAGGAACAUGUGGUUUAAUUCGAUGAUACGCGAGGAACCUUACCCGGGCUUGAAUUGCAACUGAAUGAUGUGGAGACAUGUCAGCCGCAAGGCAGUUGUGAAGGUGCUGCAUGGUUGUCGUCAGCUCGUGCCGUGAGGUGUCGGCUUAAGUGCCAUAACGAGCGCAACCCUUAUCGAUAGUUACCAUCAGGUUAUGCUGGGGACUCUGUCGAGACUGCCGUCGUAAGAUGUGAGGAAGGUGGGGAUGACGUCAAAUCAGCACGGCCCUUACGUCCGGGGCUACACACGUGUUACAAUGGGGGGUACAGAAGGCAGCUACACGGCGACGUGAUGCUAAUCCCGAAAGCCUCUCUCAGUUCGGAUUGGAGUCUGCAACCCGACUCCAUGAAGCUGGAUUCGCUAGUAAUCGCGCAUCAGCCACGGCGCGGUGAAUACGUUCCCG
RNAcentral lists this ribosomal RNA (1016 nucleotides) under uncultured bacterium. RNAcentral describes it as "bacterial SSU rRNA". It matches the Rfam family "Bacterial small subunit ribosomal RNA", at positions 357 to 1376 of the family's 1533-position model. The record is from RNAcentral.